AUACAGAGGGUGCGAGCGUUAAUCGGAAUUACUGGGCGUAAAGCGCGCGUAGGCGGCUUAUUAAGUCAGAUGUGAAAUCCCCGGGCUCAACCUGGGAACUGCACCUGAUACUGGUAAGCUAGAGUUUUGGAGAGGGAAGUAGAAUUUCAGGUGUAGCGGUGAAAUGCAUAGAGAUCUGAAGGAAUACCAGUGGCGAAGGCGACUUCCUGGUCAAAAUCUGACGCUGAGGUGCGAAAGCGUGGGUAGCAAACGGGAUUAGAAACCCCGGUAGUCC
Molecule: ribosomal RNA, 274 nt
Filed under: uncultured bacterium
Lineage: Bacteria
Description: partial 16S ribosomal RNA
Rfam family: Bacterial small subunit ribosomal RNA
Source: RNAcentral